GACGACGCUGGCGGCGUGCCUAAUGCAUGCAAGUCGAGCGGGCUACAGUCUUCGGGAUUGUAGCUUAGCGGCGAACGGGUGAGUAACACGUAGGUAAUCUACCCUUCAGAGGAGGACAACCUCAGGAAACUGAGGCUAAACCUUCAUACGUUCACUGGUAGGGAUACUGGUGAAGAAAGAGUUACCUUAGUGGUAGCUGCUGAAGGAUGAGCCUGCGGCCCAUCAGGUAGUUGGUGAGGUAACGGCUCACCAAGCCGAAGACGGGUAACCGGUCUGAGAGGAUGUCCGGUCACACUGGGACUGAGACACGGCCCAGACUCCUACGGGAGGCAGCAGCAGGGAAUCUUGGGCAAUGGGCGAAAGCCUGACCCAGCGACGCCGCGUGGAGGAAGAAGUCCUUCGGGGCGUAAACUCCUGGACUGGGGGACGAGGAAGGACGGUACCCCAGUAGAAAGGGACGGCUAACUACGUG
Molecule: ribosomal RNA, 472 nt
Filed under: uncultured bacterium
Lineage: Bacteria
Description: bacterial SSU rRNA
Rfam family: Bacterial small subunit ribosomal RNA
Source: RNAcentral